Onychostoma macrolepis is the source of this 10688-nucleotide long non-coding RNA. RefSeq lists it as uncharacterized. The record is from RefSeq and is a predicted model, not a curated record. The transcript is spliced from 12 exons. NCBI's taxonomy places the organism in Eukaryota, Metazoa, Chordata, Actinopteri, Cypriniformes, Cyprinidae.
UUUUAAUACGGUUGUCAAUCUGAAAAUUUGCAGCAUGAAAUAUAAAACUUUUAUUUAAAUUAUGAUUGGGUUAUUUACAGAAUCUGAACAAAGAGCGCUCCUUUAGGGAUGAAUGGAUGGCUUCAUUGAUUAUAAAUGUAUAACCAAUGUAGCUAUUGGUUCACCUGCAGCACAAGAUCACUGAGUGAAAACUACCUUUAUAAUAAAUAAUAAUAAAAAAAAAUCGGUAUUGCGUAAUAAAUCUCUUAUCGAUGAGCAAGUAUUGAGAGCGUUCUGAUUUAGAAGCCUCUGAUUGGCCAUUGAGUUCACGCGCUCAUCAAACACGUCUGUGAUUGGCUACAGUGCUCAACGCUGCAAAAACACGUUGUAAAAAGAAACCUUUGAUGUUUAUCACAGAGCACGCGCACAUAAAUACGUACUGGGAUGUUUGAAAGCAGACGUCUACCAGCGGGAACCGAAUCGACACGUGCAUGAAAGAUGGAUGAUUACCAGGGCUGCAUGCGCCAGCUGAGCGACUGCCAUUGAGAAGAAUGGGAAUGCUGACAGAUACCUUUCUCCAGAUAUAUUAGUCAUAAAUAGAUGGCAGACCACCAGGGCCGCAUGUGCCAGCUGAGUGACUGCCAUUGAGAAGAAUGGGAAUGCUGACGAAUAGCUUUCUACAGAACAAUAACAUCGCACAGGUCUGAGACGACACGAGGGGGGAUUUUUGUUUUCGAACGAGCCGUUGCUUUAAGCCGCAGAGGAGUGCAAUUUUCUGGCAACUGAAUUUUCCAGACGCUAAUCAGACGCUACAGCCUAUGUCUGAUGGGAUGCAUUAAAGGUGAUUUGUUUUCCAGAACCCAAAGAGACACCUACAAGAUCAAGGUCAGAUGAAGCCACAAAACAAAAUUGAAUCGAGUAGCCGCAGAUGCUGGCUGAGAUCCAGAGGAAGUGGGUUUGUCAGCUGUGGUCACCAUAUAUUUUUAAUGGACAAGAGCAACUCAGUAAAAUCCCCUUUUGUGUUUCACAGAAAUGAUGCAAGUUAAGGAUGACUAAACGAUGACAUUAGCCUUUAGUUACGUCAAAGCCAUGAACAUGAUUUACAAAUUAGGGGGAGGGAAAUGAUCCAAGAGAUAAUUUGAUUGUAUAAAAAUCUGUAGUGCAGGAUGAGUAUUUUUUUCAUAAGAGAAAUCAUGUAAACUAAAAGACAAAAAAGUCAAAUUUUGAUUACAUUUUUAUUUUUUGUCUCUCUUUCAAAAUAAGAUCAGAGAAACAAGCUCCUUUGUUAAAUCUUUGUUGUUUACUCCACUGCUGGAAACUUGAUGAUUGCAUUUGAACGGAAUCAAUACUGCCGGGUCUGAAGCGACUGCGAUGCUGAUGUGAGAUGAUUGGCUUGUGAAAGUUCAAUGUGCUUCUUUAGCACAGAAGCCCGAACAGAUGCUGUGAUGUAAAGCAGACGCUCGGGGCCGAGGGCAAACAUCCACACGCUAACACCGUGAAGCAAACCAGCUUUAUCAAGUCAACGGCAGGCAGAUCAAUGCAGAGGCGACCUAUUCUCCCUCAUAGUGACAAAGUGGAGAUGUGCACCAAUAAAUGGGCUUUACUUUGACAUUAUACUGAGACAAAAGCCAUUUAGACGACAGCGGCCUGACACAGGAAAGAUGUUGAGCAGAGUAAGAUGAAUUUCUUCCCCUACAAGCAGCUAUAAUCUGAAACAAAAUGCAGCGAGCAGAGCUUUGACACUGAGACUGUCGAAACAGAGGAAGGAACUUUGCAGAGAUCUGCACUUCCUGUUGACGAGAACGCUGUCAGCAUGCGCUCACUUCUGACAACACGCGAAAAACACAACUGAUUUUACACAAUCUGUGAUGUUAACUGAUGGACUGGAGUGGUGUGGAUUACUUGUGGGUUAUUGUGAUGUUUUUAUCAGCUGUUUAAACUCUAAUUCUGACGGCACCCAGUCACUGCAGAGGAUCCAUUGGUGAGCAAAUGAUGAAAUGCUACAUUUCUCCAAAUUUGUUCUGAUGACGAAACAAACGCAUCUGCAUUUGGAUGGCCAGAGGGUCCAUCUCACUGAAAAGCUAAAGGAAUCGAUGCGUCCACAUCAGAGAGAAUAUAAUAGAGGUUCACCUGCCUUUGUGCUGAAACCCUUAACCUGACAACAGCAGAGAGCCUCCAUUUCACAGGCUGAGGUUUGAACUAUGGCUCUCUGGCAGGGUGCGGGGUCCGGGGCCCGAACUCAUCAGCGCCGUGGCAGCCGUCGACGCGGUGAAGAUGAAAUGAAGGAAGGUAAUGUGGGGAAGCAAAUGGCUGUGAAUUCUCCUCUGAAUGUGACUCCCGCGGCGCCCCUCCGACUCAAUUUUCACGCCGCUUGGCUGCAGAAUAAAAGCAGCAGUCCCUGCAUCCACCUGCUCUAAUCCCCUACACAACUACAGCUCCUUUAACCCCGUGCCGACUGUCCUCGCCUUCCCUUUCAGCUGCUUUGCUUUGUAUUAUUGACUGACAGGUUGAAUAAAGGUAUUAGGUGUCAUUGCAUUUUAAUAAUCUGCCCCGCUCGCUGAUUAUAUCAGGGUUGCGAGCGUGAUUUGGAGGGCGGCGUGUGGCCGAGAAGCUGUCCGUAAGUGUGUUUUCUAUUCCUCUUCCUCUUGACAUUUUAAACAUUUCAAAUCACAUUUGAGGGAAAUAAAAAACGUGCAGGGCAUCUUAAGCACCACGCCGGCGUAUUUCGUGUGAUGGGUUUUUCGCCACACAACUUAUUACAAGGCUCGUUCACUUGCCUACCAGGCUGUUUCUUUGUACACCAGCAAUGGAAAACACGGAUUUAGACAAAAUUGACGACAAACACAGAGUGUUAAUUUGGUCUAAUUGCUGUCUUAUCCCAAAAAAACUGUUAUUGCUCAGAGAUUUUUUUUUUUAUUGCUUUUUGGUUACCAAGAUGUCCUUAUUCAUAAUGAGUUCAGAUAAACAUCAGACAUUUCUCCUUAAAUGCCUUACGAAAAAUUAAAACAGACACUAAUGAUACAUAAAGCAGUGCUAUUUUUCAUAUUAUUCAGAUACUAUUAUAGUUUUUAUUCAUAUUUGCAAUACAUCCUUUAAAUAUAUACUUUCCAUUUUUAUUUUAAUUAUAGUUAAAGGUUUAGUAAUUUAGUUUAGUUUUUUAGUUGUGCAUUUUGAUUAUUUUUUAUGUCUAUAUAGUAUAUUUUAUUCAUUUUUAGUUUUAAGUUUUAGUUCUUUCAGUACAUCAAGUUAAACUAAAAGAGAAAUGUUGCAAUGGCACUAGAUAAAAAUAAGUACAAUAUUUAUAAAGGAAUAAGGUUUUUCUUUUUUUUUUACUUCAGUUACUGUACCAUUAACUUUAUUUAUUUAUUUAUUUUUUAGUUUUAGUUAACCAUUAUAUUAUAAUAGCAUUAUAAAAUGAAUCUGAAUAGCAGAUCAUUUGUUUUUGGAGGAAUUUGAUCACAAAGGUUUCAUAUUGAAAUCUCUGUUUUGAUUGCAGGUUCUUCAAAUCUGAAGAUGAUUUUGAAGAUCUUGUUUGAAACUAGAAGAGAUGGAUGUGAUUUGAGUCAAAUCUGAGAAGUGGAAGACUUCUGCAAAACUCUAGGUGACAAAAUUGAGGCACUGUGUGUGAUUUUCCCUUUUUUGUGUGAUUAGAGCAGUCAAUUAAGUUAAUAACGUAGCUUGCUUGGUGCCUCGUCUUCCACGCAGUCGCAGCAUCUGGCUCAUGUCACAAUAUCACCACUACAUCGUAAGAUAGAUUGAUGGGUCAGAUCUCUUAAAAUAAGCACCACUCUGGCAUGUUCCAUGUGAUGGGUUUUUUUGCCACAACUUAUGAGGCCAUUCACUUGCCUACCAGGAUGUUUCUUUGUACACCAGCAUCUGGGAAAAAUUUAUUUAGAUGAAAUCAACAAAUGUAGUGUUAAUUUGGUCUAACUGGUGUCUUAUUCUAGAAAAUAGUAUUAUUGCUCAUAAGUUUAAUUUUACUAUCUCAAAAGGACAUUUUUGAUGUGAUCAAGAGGUCCUUGGACAACCUGCUUCAUCCCAACGAUCUAGAGACCAGCACUAGACUACUAAACCAGUCUGAACCAGGUUAGAAAUUCAUAAUGAUUUCAAGUAAACAUCAGACAUUUCUUCUUGCCUUAGGAAAAAUUUUAAAUAGACACCAAUGAGACAAUCAUUGACACUGAUAGUGUUAUUUAGAAGAAGAAGAAUCAGCUUUAUUCGCCAAGUGUGCGCAAACACACAAGGAAUUUGUUGUGGUUUUUAAGAAGCUCUUGGUACAUACAUGCAUAUAUACAUGGAUAACAAGUAUAAUUUAGAUACUAUAGUUUUUUAUUAAUUAUUUCGAUUUUUUAUGUAUUCCAUUUUCAUUUUAAUAUUAGUUGAAAAUUUUAGUAAUUUAGUUUGUGUUUUUGCCAUUUCUUUUAGUUUUUUUUUUUUUUUUUAAUUUUUAAGUUUUAGUUUAAAUUAUUUUAGUACAUUUAAACUAUGAGAAAUGUUGCGCUGGCAACUAGAUAAAUUGAGUACUUUUUAUAUUUUAUUUCAGUUAUCAUUUACUUCAUUUCUAGUAACGAAAAUGUUUUUUGAGUUUGUGUUAGAAUGAUUUUAGUUUAGUAUUAUACAGAGAGUAUUAUAGCACGAUAAAAUGCAUCUGAAUAGAAGAUCAUUUGUUCUUGAAGGAAUUUGAUGAGAAAUGUAUGGUUUCAUGUUAAAAUCUUUUGAUUUCAGGUCUUCUGAUAGCAGGUUCUUUGAAUCUGAAGAUGAGUUUGGAGUUCUCGUCUGACGCUUGAGAUUUGAUUUAAAUCUGAGAAGUGGAAGACUUCCACAAAAGUCUAGGUGACAAAGUUGAGACAUUGUUUGUGUGAUUUUCCAAUUUUGUAUGAUUAGAGCAGUCAAUUAAGUUAAUAGAGUAGCUUGCUUGGUGCUCAUCUUCUGUGCAGUUGCAACAUCUGGUACAUGUCACAAUAUCACCACAACAUCUUAAGAUAGAUUGAUGGGCCAGAUCUCAAAAAUAGACGCGGCACUUCACACAGUGCCUUGUGAAAGAAAGCAAUGGUGCAGGUUGACCAUGGACACAUAAAUUUGAUUAAGGCGAUUAACAAAUGUGCAGUCUAAUGUUUCCACCCGCGUGGCGUCAGGGAACAUUAAGCCAGCUGAGGCAGUCUUGCAUGAGGAAGUUUAUUGUCUUCCCUUGUAGAUGAGACAUUUGCUGCUCAUUCCUCCCCCUCCUUUAAAGUGCUUUGCAACUCCUCCUUUAUGAAUAGCAAUAUAUUUGCAAUAAUAGAGUAGAGGCAGCGUGGAGAAAUGAAGCGUAGUGGGGGAAGUGUGAGAUAUGGGCCAAUACUGCUAAACACAACAGAGUUCUCGUAUGCGGUGCUCGCUGCAGUGCACAUAUUCACCCAUCUUGCCAAACUCAAGGACAUAUAGAGCAAUCGCAUAGCUAGGCUGUUCUAUUAUAGUUAUUACCGUAACAGUGCUGGAAAACCAUAAUUUCAGAUGUCAGUCAUCUGGAACGUUGAUUUGGCCCAGGUAAUUUGCACUAACAUGGUCACACGCCGGGGUUUCAGAGGUGAUCUCAACAAUGUCUCAAACUGUGCUCCGGUUUGAAAUCAAACGUCGAAAGAUUUCAAUUUUAACUCAAACACUUUUCAUCAAAUUCUACUGUAAUAUCCACGAAACAAUGUUCUGUAGUCUUACUGUAGUCUAACGGUCUUUUCUGGAGAAACAUAUAAGACUUUGAUACUCGCAUGAAGCAUAAUUCAGAUUCCGAAUUUAAAUUGAGGAUUGUAGAAACAGGAUGUAGAAUUGCAAUUCACAUUUGAAUGCAAGGAAGUAAAAUUAAAAUGAAUUGAAAAGAAAAGAAAAUAAGUUUAUCGGUCAUUUUAACUAGAAAAGAAAGGUUUAUCAACACAAACUUUGAAUGUUAUCUUGAAAGCCUUGCUUGAAAGUUUAGCGGAAAAAAAUAGAUUGAAAAAUGUUUAAAAACCAUUGGAGUUUGAGGGUUUAUAUCAACAUAGAUGAUGGAUUGAUGACUGGAUGAUAUAAAGAGACAGACAGACAGAUAGAUAGAACAUAGGAUACAUAGAACGACGGAUGGAUGGAUGGGACAGAUAGAAAAAAGUUUAUAAACCAUUGAAGUUUGAGGGUUUAUAUCAAUCUAGAUAAUGGAUGGAUAGAUAAAACCUAUCAAGAUAGAUAGAUAGAUAGAUAGAUAGAUAGAUAAAAGAAUGGAUACAUAGAACGAUGGAUGGAUGGGAUAGACAGAAGAAAGUUUAAAAACCAUUGAAGUUUGAGGGUUUAUAUCAGUCUAGAUAAUGGAUGGAUAGAAAUAACCUAUCAAGAUAGAUAAAAGAACGGAUACAUAGAAUGAUGGAUGGAUGGUUGGAUGGAUGGAUGGGAUAGACAGAAGAAAGUUUAAAAACCAUUUAAGUUUGAGGGUUUAUAUCAAUCUACUAAUGGAUGGAUGGAUGGAUAGAUAGAAAAUAUCAUGCCAGAAUGAUAGAUAGAUACAUGAUGAUGGAUGGAUGGGAUCUAUAGAUAGAAGAAAGUUUAAAAACCAUUACAGUUUGAGGGUUUAAGAAUGAUAGAUGGAUGGAUGGAUGGAUGAAUGUGGGUAAGAUGCAAUCACAGUGGAGCAAAUACCCUGUUUGUUUAGUGAUAGAUACAGUGAAACUAGGAAUUUCUCAAGAGAAGGAGGAAAAACUGUAUUUUUGUGGGUUUCCGCCCACCCAGAGAGAGAGAGAGAGAGAGAGAUUGACCUCGGCAUUCAUCUGAAUCCUCCUUACAGGAUUAUUCUGAUCUGUGGGGUAAGAUGUCAGCGAGACUUCUGGCUCACACUACAUCUCAACACCCUCCCUCCCAGCCCAAGCCGAGCUCCGCUUGUGAGAAAUAACAACACUGACAGCUAUAUUUAGCCAAGGCCCUCUGGAUCUUCCCCCAUUAGCCACCUCACAGCCCGCAGGCUCCAACAUCUCACCGGCAGCCGCCUCACAGAUCACAGACACCUUGCCGCGCACCUGAGAGCCUCCUCACAGGAACACGUCGACUGCCUGGGAUCCAGGUACAGUCUGUCGUGAGCGUGUGCUGCAGAAUUACCAGGCAGCUGUGAUUCACAGAGAGAAUUCUGGGAGGAUUUGGGGUUUGUCAUUUGCAAGUGUCAUCACUUCGGGGAUUUGCGGAGCAGCAAAGAAUCAAGGAACGUUGUUGGAGAAUCUCCAUGUGCCACGGUUUGAUUUCUCCUUUCAAAAGUUCCUCGCAGAUUAUCCUUACCUCAACAUUUCUAACUCUGCUGAUCGUCCCUUUUAAAAGUCACUCGAUAUCAGAGUGAAUUCAACAGAGAUAGGAGAACGACUGACAGCUUACCAUCUUUCCCCACCAGGAAGUCCACGUGGUGGUACGUGUAGGCGACCCCGAUCUUGGUCUCCACCUGCGGUCUCUUGAGGGUGGAGUAAAUCUUUCCCGGACUGUUGUCUUCCGUCUGACGGUACUUCCUCAAGCCGCAGCCCAUUUCUGCUGAACGAGUGCGCACUUAAGCCUGGGAUGAAAGAGACACGGUCAGAAAGACAAAGAGGUGUUUCCCGUGUGGAAAGUAAUCUGUCCAUUUUCUCACGUACCACAUUAAUUUGCCUCUGCGUGCACAGCAAAGAACGUACAUUGCUGUUCUACAGUUCCUUUCAGCCAGGUACUGCCUCAUCCUGUGCUUGUUUGGCAGAAAGCAAGCAGAAAAAGACCCAAUUAAGGGCACACUAGAUUACGAAAUUAGCUACUAAAUAAAUAAAUAAGAGGCAUAAAUGGGCUUCAGCUCAUCAUGGGAGCCCAAUCUCUCAACUGGCAGGCUGGGAAUUAACACGUCCAGCCAGCGAGAGGCCAAAAGUGCUCUCUGUUCGUCAGCCAAAGCGCCCUCCUUUUCCAAAUCUAAAGUGACAGCCGCCGACAGUCGCGAGCGGAUCAGAAGGGUGCAGCGGCCGGGACGUAUAAUCUGAGAGGCGGCGACGGCCGAGGGUUCUAGAGAAUACACGGUUAAUGAGGCAUCGCCAGCGGCCUGAAUAUUUGUGGCAGAAGCUCGUCGCUGCGACAGGAGGGAAGAACCUAAUCUUCGCGCACAUCCGGGAAGCGUAAUCCUUUCAAAGUGGCACCUCACGCAGGAGAAGAACAAAAAUUACCAUUCAUCUUCCAUCAAGGCGCACAGCUAAAGCUGCGUUUCAUCUCCUCAACUGACUCAGCUGCGGAGAAGGUGCCGAAUGCGUGGCACAGACAGCGAAUGUGACAUCUGAUUUGUAGGCUGUCUAAUCACAGGAGAGGGUGUACAUUUUCUCUCAGAGAGAGCAGAGGAGAGCCUGCCCUAAUUGAACGCGAGGAGAAGCCGUUCAGAGAUCACAGGUUGUUUACAGUGCAGCACCCUGGAAACCACUCACAGCACCCUAGCAUCGCAUCAGAGACUUUUGCACAGGCGAGUACCAUUCAUAUUUCUUUCUGAAAAUGCACAAAAUCGAGUUUGUUUGGUAUUUGUUUUUCUCUCCCAAGGAAACAUCCUCUGAGCUGUAAUAAAAGGGUUCUGCUGAUGCACAUAUGACACUGAAGUCAGCAAUACUCUCCAGUAACUCUCUGAUAGCGAGUAUGCGUGGGGUCGGAGGUGACUAGCCCGUGAUAUGAUGCACCAGAUUCCUCCAUGACAACAGCAGCUCUGUGUGCGGCUCCUGAGGCGCCCGGCGCACAGCCUCCGAACCGCCGUCUGGAACUGAUUAAUGACAGUUUGCCUUCUCUGUUCUCUUUUCUUACAUUCCUUUCUUAAAGGGCGUUCACACUGACAGCGAUUUGCGUCCGUAAGACAUUCAUUUAUAAAGAGAGUUGGCAAUUUCUGGCAAUAUGACUGACAGGGACCGUUAGCGGGACCGCCUACUAGCAUCAACAGCACAAUUCGACUGUGUAUAGAUUAGCAUACUAACAUACUACUUAUUCUCUUUCAGCAGUAUUUAGUAUGCAUGCUGUGUACAGUAUGCAAAUUUUCUAGAUGUAUGUAAAGAAUAGUUUGAUUAACUAGUACAGUUGAGAAAAUGUGAAGUACACAACAGAGAACAGUGCAACAAUGCAAUGUACUCAACAUGACCUUCCAGUUUUGGCAUUGAUUUUUAACAUUUUUAACUCUUUCUUGACUGAUUUGAUCAGACUGCCAAAAGUUUUUAUACAAAAGUUUAAUAAAAUUAAUAAUUAAUUGUUAAAAAACUAGUGUUGUUAUCACUAUAUGUGACCCUGGACCACAAAACCAGUCUUAAGUCGCUGGGGUAUAUUUGUAGCAAUAGCCAAAAAUACACUAUAUGGGUCAAAAUUAUAGAUUUUUCUUUUAUGCCAAAAAUCAUUAGGAUAUUAAGUAAAGAUCAUGUUCCAUGAAGAUAUUUUGUAAAUUUACUACUGUAAAUAUAUCAAAACUUCAUUUUUGAUUAGCAAUAUACAUUGCUAAGAAUUCAUUUGGACAACUUUAAAGGCGAUUUUCUCAAUAUUUAGAUUUUUUUGCACCCUCAGAUUCCAGAUUUUCAAAUAGUUGUAUCUCGGCCAAAUAUUGUCAUAUAUUUUUUGGUGAUGAUGAUGUAUAAAUCUCAAUUUUGAAAAAUUAACACUUAAGACUGGUUUUGUGGUCCAGGGUCACAUAUAUAUAUAUAUUAGAAGAAAGACUAACAAAUUAUAAAAUUAGAAAUGUUGCCUUGGGAAACUACAGUAAAUGUAAGCUAAAGUGCUAAAAUUGCUAAAACUGAAAGAAAAAAACAAAAAAACAAAAACGUAAAGUACACACAAUUACUAAAAUACAAAAAUUUAAAAUAAAAAAAUAUUAAAUGUUUAAAGUAAAUUUUUAAUUAAAAUAUAAGAAUAAAAUCCAAUAAAAAAAAAUAAUACUAAAAAAGUGUUAUAUAAAUUACACUAAAAUAGCACUGUCAAAUAUGUCAACGUAUAUGAUAACGUUAAAUUUUUUUAAAUAACACUAACAUUCUCGGAACAUUGCAGGGAGAUUUUUGUGCAAACGCCUAAUAAAAGCUUAAAAUAAAAAUUACACUCUAAAGGUUAUUUUUACGUUUUAUUCGAUGAUCAACAGGAUAUUUUGUUGGGCUUUUGGUGUAUAUUUCUGCACUGUUGUGUAAGGAAGCCCCGCCUACAGUGAAAUCUCAUUGGUUCAAAAUUACACUGCACAUAACAGUUACAGCUGAUACUACAGUUGUGAUGAAACAAAAGUAGCAACAGAUCUUUUAUUUUGUACUGUGAUGUACAUCCGAGAGAAACGGAUUAACGAAAUAGAAAAAUUGUUGGGCGGGGACUUGUUUCUGUCCAUCGGAUGUUGAUUGGAUGGUGGAUCUGAAUGUGAGCUUGCAGUUAACUUUAAGAAAGGGGUGGGUUUAUGCACACUAAAUGACUGGAGAAGUCUGUUGUUUGACCACAAGAUAGACAUUUUGAUUGAACAUGCAUUUAGAAAAUCGCUCUGAAUUUUGAUUUCAUGUCGACGACUUUAAACACCAAAUAUCUUCAGAUUGUCCUACAUUUGCUUCAUUUUCGCUUUCAGUGUGAAUACAAAUAAUGCUGUCUAACUUGACUUAGUGAAUGCAUGCUCCAAAGUUAUUUAAAUACAUCCUAUUAAAGAAAUUUGUCACCAAAAUCCUUUGAUUUCAGGCAAACAACCGAAAUGAGGUGCUGAAGAAACACUUCUUAAAAAAGCCAUCGGUCAAGCA